GAACAUAUCCUAAAGGAUGAUGGAACAUUCACAGUUGACCAAGUCAAAUUCAAGAACAGAGAAAAGUCUCAAGGUGUCAAUCUUCAGGGAAAGUAUCUUGAGUAAAGUGCAGUAAAACUCGCGCAUAUAAUUACUGAAUCAGCUAAUAACAGACAAAGUGCCGAUGACAUAAGUGAUUUAUUCAUGAAAAUCAGUUGGAUUCAAUAUUCAAAGUGAAGGUCUUAAGAAAUUGUCAAAUAUCGGACCAGAGGCUAACUUAAAGGAAAGGGUCAAAGUGCUUGAUGAUGGACAAGAUCAUUUCUGUUGAAGAAAGAAAAUAUUCUGCAAAUCAACAACACACAUCCAAAAUAACUUCAUAAUUGGUGGAAAGAAGGCUACAUCUAUUUCCAUAAUUUGGUUCAUUUACAUGCUCUGCAAACAUCCUGAGAUUCAAGAUAAGAUGUCCAAAGGUGAAUGAUUUACCAGAGAUCCUGUUACCCUCACUUUUGAGUUGGAAGGAUGGAAGUCGAUUUUGCACAACCAAUCUUAAUAAUAAUCGGGACAUGUAACCAUUACAUCCUAAAGGUUCUUCAAGGUGAAGGAACAUUCACAGUUGAAUGGGACAAAUGUGAGAACAGAGAGAUUUUAGCGGUCUACCAAAUCUAAUCAGUUGGAGGAUAGACGAUUGUGAAAAUCUGGAGCCAUUUCCUGACCUUCAGCUAUCCAAUCUCACCAUGUUAAAACAUAUGUGUAUCAGAAAGUGUCCAAUGCUGCAUAGAAUGUAUGGUCUUGGUGCACUGAGUAUGUUCAAUGAUUACAUUUCAAUACGGAAAUUACGUUAGCAGGGACUUAAGACCAUGACAUCCUAAAAGAUCUUCUAGGUGAUGGAACAUUCACAGUUGACUAGGAAAAAACUGAGAUAAGAGAGAUUUUAGCAGUGUAAGUUCCUUUCAGUCAACAACAUAUGACUAGGAAGAGGGUCCCACUACUGGCCCCGAAUCUCUCAUAUCCCCGAAAUCGACAUAAGUUACUGGUAAAGGCAUUGAAAACAGACUUCCUGCCGUGAAUACCCAAUCAUUGAAAAUUGCCAAAAAUUGAAAGAAAGGUGUGAAGGAAGAGGCUCCCACUACUGGCCACACAUCUCUCAUAUCCCCUGCAUUGAAAUAUAGACUAGAGGUACUUGUUUAUUAAAUACCCUCUGGUAUACAUUUGAUAAACUGGUAUUCUCAGACAUGUGCGUGUUUUUUUGUUGGAAUAGGAUUUGUUGCUCAAAACCUAAAAUUGA
RNA transcript from Helianthus annuus (common sunflower), 1264 nucleotides. RefSeq lists it as uncharacterized. Lineage: Eukaryota; Viridiplantae; Streptophyta; Magnoliopsida; Asterales; Asteraceae. The transcript has 8 exons. The record is from RefSeq and is a predicted model, not a curated record.